CGACCUCAGUUCAGGUGAGAUUACCGGCUGAAUUUAAGCAUAUUACUAAGCCGAGGAAAAGAAACUAACAAGGAUUCCCCUAGUAGCAGCGAGCGAACAGGGAAGAGCUCAGCGCUGAAUCCCCCGGGCCUCGCUCGGCGGGAAAUGUAGCGUUUGGGAGGGCCCGUCAACACGGCGACUCGCUCACUGGUUCAAGUCCAACUUGAAUGGGGCCACACAGAGGGUGACAGGCCCGUAGAGCAGGAGCGGUUGUCGUGUGGGUCUCUCCUUAGAGUCGGUUUGCUUGAGAGUGCAGACUUAAGUGGGUGGUAAACUCCAUCUAAGGCUAAAUAUGACCACGAGACCGAUAGCACACAAGUACCGUGAGGGAAAGGUGAAAAGAACUUUGAAGAGAGAGUUCAAGAGUACGUGAAACUGAAGUGGUGUAAACGGACGAGUUCGAAAAGUCCGAAUGGUGAGAUUCAAGCUUACCGUGCCGGUGGCCCUCGGGUUCAGAUGGCGUCGUCAGCUCGGGCUUCGGUUCGGGUCAUACGGCGUCACUCGUCCUGGGGGUAUCUGUCUGGUGCGGUGGGCUGCACUUCUCGCCUAGUAGGACGUCGCGACCCGUUGGGAUGUUCCGUUCACUGGCCCCUGGUGGAGCCCGCGCCGGAGCGUGGCCUUGUGCCGCGUUGCUGUUUGCACGGACCCGGGGUGACCUGAUCGGCGCCCGACGGUAUCAAAGCUUGGGAAGAGGCCGC
Molecule: ribosomal RNA, 737 nt
Filed under: Frankliniella occidentalis (western flower thrips)
Lineage: Eukaryota; Metazoa; Arthropoda; Insecta; Thysanoptera; Thripidae
Description: eukaryotic LSU rRNA
Rfam family: Eukaryotic large subunit ribosomal RNA
Source: RNAcentral